RNAcentral lists this ribosomal RNA (169 nucleotides) under uncultured bacterium. Its description in RNAcentral is "partial 16S ribosomal RNA". It matches the Rfam family "Bacterial small subunit ribosomal RNA", at positions 350 to 511 of the family's 1533-position model. The record is from RNAcentral.
NGCAGUAGGGAAUCUUCCACAAUGGGCGAAAGCCUGAUGGAGCAACGCCGCGUGUGUGAUGAAGGGUUUCGGCUCGUAAAACACUGUUGUAAGAGAAGAAUGACAUUGAGAGUAACUGUUCAAUGUGUGACGGUAUCUUACCAGAAAGGAACGGCUAAAUACGUGCCAG